This 253-nucleotide ribosomal RNA is filed under the name uncultured bacterium. RNAcentral describes it as "partial 16S ribosomal RNA". It matches the Rfam family "Bacterial small subunit ribosomal RNA", at positions 524 to 776 of the family's 1533-position model. The record is from RNAcentral.
UACAGAGGGGGCAAGCGUUGUUCGGAAUCACUGGUCGUAAAGCGCACGUAGGCGGAUCUUUAAGUCAGGGGUGAAAUCCCAAGGCUCAACCUUGGAACUGCCUUUGAUACUGGGGAUCUCGAGUCCGGAAGAGGUGAGUGGAACUGCGAGUGUAGAGGUGAAAUCCGUAGAUAUUCGCAAGAACACCAGUGGCGAAGGCGGCUCACUGGUCCGGUACUGACGCUGAGGUGCGAAAGCGUGGGGAGCAAACAGG